Long non-coding RNA from Juglans regia (Persian walnut), 267 nucleotides. RefSeq lists it as uncharacterized. The transcript has 3 exons. NCBI's taxonomy places the organism in Eukaryota, Viridiplantae, Streptophyta, Magnoliopsida, Fagales, Juglandaceae. The record is from RefSeq and is a predicted model, not a curated record.
CGGAGAUAUACCAGUGCAAGACACGUGCAGAAAUUUAUUUGGCCCAUCAGAGCUUGUCCAAGAGAAAUCCGUUAAUGUGGUUGGUGGAACCCAGCUCGGAGAAAGGAUGAUUGGGAGUCAAGAAAGUGGGUUGCGCUGACCUCUUGGUUAGCUUGCAUUCUGUAGCUGUCGAAAGUAAGCAUGAGAACUGUGUAUAGGAAGUUCUCAUGUUCAGAAAGGGGUGCUGUUGCGAAAGACCUUUCAAGCAACUCGUGAAACUUGUAAUGC